Non-coding RNA from Paramuricea clavata, 198 nucleotides. NCBI's taxonomy places the organism in Eukaryota, Metazoa, Cnidaria, Anthozoa, Malacalcyonacea, Plexauridae. The record is from the annotation of a GenBank genome assembly.
GUUGUUCAAAACAGUAGCGAACAAUGUUGUGCUGCACCCCGUGAACAAUAUUGUUAACAAGUUGUUGAACCAUCAAUGUUGUUGCAACUUGUUAACAUGAUUGUCAACAAGUUGCAACAACAUUGAUGGUUCAACAACUUGUUAACAAUAUUGUUCACGGGGUGCAGCACAACAUUGUUCGCUCCUGUUUUGAACAAC